Ailuropoda melanoleuca (giant panda) is the source of this 3194-nucleotide long non-coding RNA. RefSeq lists it as uncharacterized. Lineage: Eukaryota; Metazoa; Chordata; Mammalia; Carnivora; Ursidae. The record is from RefSeq and is a predicted model, not a curated record. The transcript has 5 exons.
AGUCGGAUCCUGGUACAGAGAGAAAACAUCAGCAUAGAGAUGAGUGAAAUACGAAUAAAUGUUGGACUCUAGCCCAUAAUUACGCAGCACAGUCGGUUUCUCUUGACAAAUGUUCCAUGGUGCAAAAGACGCUAUCUUCCAUCUUGCUUGUGCCCUCUGGAUUUCUUACUUGCUGGCUGUGGUGUAGCCCCCGGCCACAUUGUAAGCUGCCCUGUGGCCCACGUGGUGAGGGACUGAAGAAGGCUCCUGGCCAAAGCCGUGGAGGAACUGGAUGUUGCCGACAAUCAGGCCCCUGAUCACUCCAGCCUCCCUGUCUGAGCCCGUGCCUGCCCCAGGGCAUUUGCACUUGCCAUGUUCUCUGCCUGAGGUCUACCUGUGCCCAGGGCCUAGAUACACCUAGGAAGCCCCAUGUGAAGACAGGACAAGAGCAAAGUCCCCAUCAGCCAGAACCCUGGAUGGCUCCAUGAAGGACAGCCCUUCCCACCCUUCCCUCUCAGCUGCUGACCGAACUUCACAAGACGAAGAGAUUCACUCCUAAUCUGUUAAACGCUGAGAUUUCAAGGCCUAUUGGUUAUUUAAGCCAAUUUACUAUGCUUUUCUAUCAGGCCCAUCUUAGGCAAAUCUUUUUAAAAUUGUUGUAUUUUUCCACUGGUUUUACCAAAGUGAGACAAGGUAAAAAGUUCAAACAUCACAGAAAUGAAUGAAGGUCUCCUGUGCCCGCUCCCUGCUCUUUAAGGAGAAAUAACGACAAUUUAUAAUUUAGAUCUAUUCUUCCAGAUUUUUUUUCCUGUGCUUUUUAUACAAAAAGCAUCAUUUGAUAUCUAUUGUUCUGCAAGACUUCCUUUCACUUAGCAGCAUACCUUGGCUAUCUUUCCAUGUUUGGAUAGAGGGAUCUGCCUUAUUCUUUUUAACAUUGGUCCGGCAUUGGGGAACACAUGUAUAAAUGUAUUUAAUGGGGCCCUGGAUUCGUUAUUUAUUGCUGUGUAACAAACCACCCCGAAAGUUAGCAGCUUCGAACAGCAAACAUUUAUCAUGUGAGAGAUGCUGAGGGUCAGGCUUCCGGAGUGGUUGAGCUGGGUCGCUCUGGCUCCAGGUCUCUGGGGUUGCGGAAAGCUGUCAGCUAAGGCUACUGUCUUCUGAAGGGGCCGGAGAAUCAGCGUCCAGGCUCACUCCUGUGACCGUCACAGGCCUCAGUGCCUCGCUGCCUGUAGUGGCAGACUCUGGUUCCCUGAGCCUCUCCACAGGCUGUCUGCGUGUCCCUAUGAUGUGACAGCUGCUUCCCCAGAGUGAGUAAUGAGAGAGCCCAGGAUGGAAGUGGCAGCGUUUCGUAACCCAAUCUCAGGUGUGACAUUCACAACGGCAGGCCACUCCGCCACUGGUCGCUCAGACCAACUCUGGUACGUGUACGAGGGGCUUCCCAGACCAUGAAUACCAGGUGUGGAGGAGCACCGGGCUCCCUUGGGGGCUGCCACCGUGGGUGCCUGCAGGGGAACGAGGCAAUUUCCCCUUUCCUCCCUUGCAAAUUCUGCUGCAGUGAACAUCCUUGCUCACCUCCCCGUGCACACUUGUGGAAGGGAGCUCUUCUGCCAGAUGAGCUUGCCUGGACGAUCGGUGUGCAUCGCUCGCUGAGUUCUCAAUGCACUGCAGUGAGGGUGCCCAUUUUGCAGAUGAAGAAACUGAGGAUCAGAGGGGCCCCUCGGCUGGGUCUUGUGAAGAUUCUUGGCAUCCUGGGGAACAGAGAAGUCUUGGUAUGAGCUUUCUAGAUGGGCUUUUCUGAUAGGAGAAGAGGAUCAAUGUAGCUGAGCACUGAAGAUGACCGUGAACCGCAGUAAGAGUCGUUGAGGUCUGUGUUGUUCCAGACAUUAUUGGCCUGUGUCAUGAAGAGCAUGGGCAACACCGAUUUUCUUCAGAGUAUGCUAUUCUCGUCUCGGGAUGUCCUUCCAAGUGGCAAGUUUCAAUGCACAGGUAUAGGUAUUGACGAAUAUGUCAUGGUUGCUACCUUGUCUCUGAAGUUGUAAAAUAUAUUCUGACUUCUUCAGAGAUGUUUAAAUGUGGGGGGAAACACAUCUUAGAAUGGAUGAAGUUUGGUGUCAGCAUUACAUGUUCAACAAAAUUACAGGGGUGCCUACUGUAUGCCAGGCCUGCACAAGGGACAAGACUGUCUCGUUUCUGCUCUCAGGGAGCUCACGAUGCCUCUGGGAGAUAGACAUCAGACAAACGCAUAAUCAUGCAGACAUGAUUGUUUAAUGACCAGAGUUGCACUAUAGAAGGGAUAAGCAGCAGGAGUGAUUGUGUCUGGGGUCAGGGAAGGCUUCCUUGAGGAAGUGGCAUCUGAGCUGUGAUAAAGGAAUAGGAACUAACUAGGGAGAGAGGCCAAAGACAUGCAAGGCAGAGGCAGCAGUGUGUGUAAAGGCCCUGGGGACAGGAGGAGUUUGGGGGCUCUAGUGUGACAAAGGAGGGGGAGAGUGGCGGGAACUGGAGCUGAGAGGUGGGAAGGGGCAGAUCCUGAGGGCCUUUUUCCAAAGCACAAUGCAAAGCUGUUGCAGGGCUUUAAGUUGCGAUAGAAACUGAGGUUCAAAGAAGCUAAUCAACAUGCCAAGUCACAGAAAGUGUUGGAGACAGAAGUGGAACUCAGGUCUGGCUGGUUCCAGCACCCAUGCUUUCACUCCUUGCUGGAGGGGCAGAGGAGACUAUCUGAUCCACUUCCUCACUGUCCAUUUGGGGAGACUGGGGCCUAGGAAGGGGAACAGGCUGGCCCCGCCUAAGUGGCACAGUAGGACAGGGACUGAUCUAGAACCCAGAUCUCCAGGACCACAGCUUCCUUCUCACAGCCAGCUCCAGAUGUCCUGAUCCAGCCUCAGCCAAGGCCCCACUUCCCCCAAUCCCAGGGAAACUACUGGUGCUUGGAGAGCAAAGGGCUGUCUCUUCUUAGGCCCCAAGUAGCUGUGUCAAUCAGAUGUCCCUGUUUCCCAGUUUGCGCUGGUGGUGGUUGGUUAGAACCUGAAUCCUGGAGCUUCCAAGUCCACGCCAGGCCCCUGAUGCAAUCAAGUGAGACCUGCCCUGUACUUUCCUCUGGCCACCCUGCCAGGCUUGGGUCAAAUUCCAGUCUCACUGACCUCCCACCCAGGCUUGACAGCAAAAGGACUCUGAGCACGUGGGGGCACAGUACGAAGAUACCACACUGACCAGCCAGG